GACGAACGCUGGCGGCGUGCUUAACACGUGCAGGUCGAACGGAAAGGCCCUGCUUUUGUGGGGUGCUCGAGUGGCGAACGGGUGAGUAACACGUGAGUAACCUGCCCUUGACUUUGGGAUAACUUCAGGAAACUGGGGCUAAUACCGGAUAGGAGCUCCUGCUGCGUGGUGGGGGUUGGAAAGUUUCGGCGGUUGGGGAUGGACUCGCGGCUUAUCAGCUUGUUGGUGGGGUAGUGGCUUACCAAGGCUUUGACGGGUAGCCGGCCUGAGAGGGUGACCGGCCACAUUGGGACUGAGAUACGGCCCAGACUCCUACGGGAGGCAGCAGUGGGGAAUCUUCCGCAAUGGGCGAAAGCCUGACGGAGCAACGCCGCGUGAGUGAUGAAGGUCUUCGGAUCGUAAAACUCUGUUAUUAGGGAAGAACAAAUGUGUAAGUAACUAUGCACGUCUUGACGGUACCUAAUCAGAAAGCCACGGCUAACUACGUG
This 488-nucleotide ribosomal RNA is filed under the name uncultured bacterium. RNAcentral describes it as "partial 16S ribosomal RNA". It matches the Rfam family "Bacterial small subunit ribosomal RNA", at positions 28 to 507 of the family's 1533-position model. The record is from RNAcentral.